UACAGAGGGUGCAAGCGUUGUUCGGAAUUACUGGGCGUAAAGCGUGCGUAGUCGGUAUUGAGAGUCACGGGUGAAAUCCCCAAGCUUAACUUGGGAACUGCCUGUGAGACCUCAGUACUAGAGUGUGAGAGGGGAUAGUGGAAUGCCAAGUGUAGCGGUGAAAUGCGUAGAGAUUUGGCGGAACACCGGUGGCGAAGGCGGCUAUCUGGCUCACAACUGACGAUCAGGCACGAAAGCGUGGGGAGCAAACAGG
Molecule: ribosomal RNA, 253 nt
Filed under: uncultured bacterium
Lineage: Bacteria
Description: partial 16S ribosomal RNA
Rfam family: Bacterial small subunit ribosomal RNA
Source: RNAcentral